RNAcentral lists this ribosomal RNA (482 nucleotides) under uncultured bacterium. Its description in RNAcentral is "bacterial SSU rRNA". It matches the Rfam family "Bacterial small subunit ribosomal RNA", at positions 329 to 803 of the family's 1533-position model. The record is from RNAcentral.
UGGCUAACUCCUACGGGAGGCAGCAGUGGGGAAUUUUGGACAAUGGGGGCAACCCUGAUCCAGCCAUGCCGCGUGUGUGAAGAAGGCCUUUUGGUUGUAAAGCACUUUAAGCAGGGAGGAGAGGCUAAUGGUUAAUACCCAUUAGAUUAGACGUUACCUGCAGAAUAAGCACCGGCUAACUCUGUGCCAGCAGCCGCGGUAAUACAGAGGGUGCGAGCGUUAAUCGGAAUUACUGGGCGUAAAGCGAGUGUAGGUGGCUCAUUAAGUCACAUGUGAAAUCCCCGGACUUAACCUGGGAACUGCAUGUGAUACUGGUGGUGCUAGAAUAUGUGAGGGGGAAGUAGAAUUCCAGGUGUAGCGGUGUAAUGCGUAGAGAUCUGGAGGAAUACCGAUGGCGAAGGCAGCUUCCUGGCAUAAUAUUGACACUGAGACUCGAAAGCGUGGGUAGCAAACAGGAUUAGAUACCCCAGUAGUCCAGCUGG